UCCCAGCCCUGCAAUUGGUAGCAGACAGAAAGAACAAAUAGCUGAAUAAAUAUCCCAGCCAGGCGGUUUACGGGGGUUCGAGUCCCCCGCUGGGAG
RNAcentral lists this transfer RNA (96 nucleotides) under Caudoviricetes sp. RNAcentral describes it as "tRNA-OTHER". Lineage: Duplodnaviria; Heunggongvirae; Uroviricota; Caudoviricetes. The record is from RNAcentral.